RNAcentral lists this ribosomal RNA (1036 nucleotides) under Schizocosa malitiosa. RNAcentral describes it as "SSU rRNA". It matches the Rfam family "Eukaryotic small subunit ribosomal RNA", at positions 683 to 1742 of the family's 1831-position model. Lineage: Eukaryota; Metazoa; Arthropoda; Arachnida; Araneae; Lycosidae. The record is from RNAcentral.
UGCCUGUUCUGAACAGCCAGCCGGUUUCUCUUGAUGAUCUUCACCGGUUGUCUUGGGUGACCGGCAAGUUUACUUUGAAAAAAUUAGAGUGCUCAAAGCAGGCGCGACGCCUGAAUAAUGGUGCAUGGAAUAAUGGAAUAGGACCUCGGUUCUAUUUUGUUGGUUUUCGGAACACGAGGUAAUGAUUAAGAGGGACAGACGGGGGCAUUCGUAUUGCGACGCUAGAGGUGAAAUUCUUGGACCGUCGCAAGACGAACUACUGCGAAAGCAUUUGCCAAGAAUGUUUCCAUUAAUCAAGAACGAAAGUUAGAGGUUCGAAGGCGAUCAGAUACCGCCCUAGUUCUAACCAUAAACGAUGCCAGCCAGCGAUCCGGCUGUGUUCCUCAAAUGACACGCCGGGCAGCUUCCGGGAAACCAAAGCUUUUGGGUUCCGGGGGAAGUAUGGUUGCAAAGCUGAAACUUAAAGGAAUUGACGGAAGGGCACCACCAGGAAUGGAGCCUGCGGCUUAAUUUGACUCAACACGGGAAAACUUACCCGGCCCGGACACAGGAAGGAUUGACAGAUUAAGAGCUCUUUCUUGAUUCUGUGGGUGGUGGUGCAUGGCCGUUCUUAGUUGGUGGAGCGAUUUGUCUGGUUAAUUCCGAUAACGAACGAGACUCUAGCCUACUAAAUAGACGUUCCGAUCAUCUCCGUCGGACGUUCUUCUUAGAGGGACAAGCGGCGUUUAGCCGCACGAGACAGAGCAAUAACAGGUCUGUGAUGCCCUUAGAUGUCCGGGGCCGCACGCGCGCUACAUUGAAGGAAUCAGCGUGUGCUUUCCCGGUCCGACAGGACUGGGUAACCCGUUGAACCUCCUUCGUGCUGGGGAUAGGGGCUUGUAAUUGUUCCCCUUGAACGAGGAAUUCCCAGUAAGCACGAGUCAUAAGCUCGUGUUGAUUACGUCCCUGCCCUUUGUACACACCGCCCGUCGCUACUACCGAUUGAAUGAUUUAGUGAGGUCUUCGGACUGGCGCUCGGAGCGGCCUUCGGGUCCCG